AGGAAUUGCUGACAUUUUGUCUGACUUUUGAGAGGGAAAGAUGUAAAAGCUCUGCCCCACUCCUGCAGGACAGCAAUUCUAUUUCAAGUUUAGUAUUAACUGGGCACAUUUAUUAGAAAGGAAAGCUGUGAUAAGGAAGAGGCUGGCACUGCCAUGUGUGUCCAAUCCUGCAUUAUUUACUGCAGCAUCUCUGACUUUUAGCCACUUCUCUUUCUGCCUUCUCAAGGCUCUCUGCAUAUCCAGAAGAAUUGUCCCUCUCCUGCUCCCAAGAUGAGACUGAUGGUGGGAAAGGAAACUUCAAGCAAGCUGAUGCUGGAGUAGCCAUGAGGUGCCUAAUGAGGUGAUUAGAAUGAUUAGGAUAAUGAGGCACUGAUGUGAGAGCCUGUGUUAUCCCACUGGGACUUCCACCAAGGCACAGGAGACUGGAGGAUGCAGCCAGGCUCAGAGCAGCUUGGAAGGAUGGAGAUGAUGUUUCCAGAUCUCCCCUUGAUGCCACCAGGAUGCAGCUCUGCACUGGCACAGCAGGAGUCUGCUUUAGAGGGAAGGAAAUUCCAGGGUCCCAUCCUGCUGGACAGCUGGAGGAUGUUCCCACCAAAUGAUCAGCAGGUCGAGGAUGCUGCAUAAAACACUCAGCAGUGCCCCUUUAACGUGGAAGCAACUUGACUUUUAUUGCCAGUGCUGAAAGCAUCUACAAAUGUAGAUUUAGAAUCAGCCUCCAGGCUUAAGAUACAGCUGUUAUAUUUUCCUUUCUUCCUUUAAUUUUUUUCCCCCCUCUCCUUUGCACUAAUGUAAUGCUUAUUUAGGAACUACAGCCAUCUGUGGUUGCUAGGGAUGGCACUGUUAAAUUUGCUGUUGCUUUCUUUCCCCUGGUUUGAUGAGGCUCUGAGUGCACAGAGAAUUCCCCAGGACAGCAGAGACUUGCUUUGAUUGCUUUUUUUUUCCUUUUUGGAAACACAUCCCAAAGACAUUGUUCACAGGGCUCUGUCUGUGCUGGGAAAAGGUGGUCAGCUGGGGAGCUGAGAUCCUGCCUUGUCGUGGGUUAAUGAGGUGAGAUUAUGAGGAGCCAGGCAGCAGAAGAAGGUGAUGAAAUUGGAAGGGAUGGCAAAUAAAAAGGAAGGGAAGGAGGAAGGGCUGGGAGCA
Molecule: long non-coding RNA, 1140 nt
Filed under: Serinus canaria (Common canary)
Lineage: Eukaryota; Metazoa; Chordata; Aves; Passeriformes; Fringillidae
Description: lncRNA (ENSSCAG00000005565.1)
Source: RNAcentral